Molecule: ribosomal RNA, 468 nt
Filed under: uncultured bacterium
Lineage: Bacteria
Description: partial 16S ribosomal RNA
Rfam family: Bacterial small subunit ribosomal RNA
Source: RNAcentral
GAUGAACGCUGGCGGCGUGCCUAAUACAUGCAAGUCGAACGGAAAGGCGCUGAUCUUGCGGGGUGCUCGAGUGGCGCACGCGUGAGUAACACGUGUGUAUCACGCACUUGUCUUUGUGAUAACUUCAGGAGACUGGGGCUCAUAUCGGAUAUGAGCUCCUGAUGCACGGGGGGGGUUGGUAAGAUUCGGCGGUUGGGGAUGGUCUCGCGGCUUAUCAGCUUGAUGGUGUGGUAGUGGCUUACCAAGGCUUCGACGGGUAGCCGGCCUGGGAGGGUGACCAGCGACAUGGGGACUGAGGGACGGCGCAGACGCCUACGGGAGGCAGCAGGGGGGAGUAUUGCAGAAUGGGCGGAAGCCUGAGGUAGCAACGCCGCGUGCGGGAUGACGGCCUACGGGUGGUAAACCGCUUUCGCCUGUGACGAAGCGUGAGUGACGGUAAUGGGUAAAGAAGCACCGGCUAACUACGUG